GAACUACAUUUUGCUUAGUGGCUUCUGUUCUACCCAGAAGAGUACACAAACAUCAGCAGACUCUCUCUACAUCUGAAGAAGGGUGUUUGUGCCUGAAAUCUUGUACAGAAU
Gavialis gangeticus (Gharial) is the source of this 111-nucleotide long non-coding RNA. RefSeq lists it as uncharacterized. The record is from RefSeq and is a predicted model, not a curated record. Lineage: Eukaryota; Metazoa; Chordata; Crocodylia; Gavialidae. The transcript is spliced from 3 exons.